Molecule: long non-coding RNA, 217 nt
Organism: Arabidopsis thaliana (thale cress)
Lineage: Eukaryota; Viridiplantae; Streptophyta; Magnoliopsida; Brassicales; Brassicaceae
Product: other RNA
Exons: 1
Source: RefSeq
GAGUAAAUGCUCAAGACUUUUUGUACCUCAAACAAUCAAGGGAUCUGGUAGUUGAGCUCUUAAAGCACUAUGAAGCCAAGGGGAGAAAGGAGGGUUUGGAGGAGAAGUUGGUGAAAGCUCGAAGUCCUCUGUUGUCCCACACCUUGUGACAUGACUUCUAAGGGGCCGUCAACACCAUUGGUCGGUAAGGGCAGUCAUCGCCGGGGAUUUGGCCGGA